RNAcentral lists this microRNA precursor (74 nucleotides) under Ovis aries (sheep). Its description in RNAcentral is "miRNA (ENSOARG00000024499.1)". The record is from RNAcentral. Lineage: Eukaryota; Metazoa; Chordata; Mammalia; Artiodactyla; Bovidae.
GGCUGGCCAAAAAGUUCGUUCAGCUUUUUCUGUGACGUUGGAAGAAACUGAAUGAACUUUUUGGUCAACUCGAU